ACAGGUUACUUCCUAACAUACGAAUCAAGUCCAGGAUGUACACCAUAUACAAUCCUUAAGCAAGAACAAGUAUGUCUCUGUCAGUGGAAGAAAAGAGAGCUGAGAAUACAAGCGGUUUUAUUUAUGAAGAAAUACUCGAGUGAUAAUGUUAUAGGACAAAGAGAUCUUAAGAUGA
Podarcis muralis (Common wall lizard) is the source of this 175-nucleotide non-coding RNA. The record is from RefSeq and is a predicted model, not a curated record. Lineage: Eukaryota; Metazoa; Chordata; Lepidosauria; Squamata; Lacertidae.